RNAcentral lists this ribosomal RNA (460 nucleotides) under uncultured bacterium. RNAcentral's name for it is "partial 16S ribosomal RNA". It matches the Rfam family "Bacterial small subunit ribosomal RNA", at positions 338 to 795 of the family's 1533-position model. The record is from RNAcentral.
CCUACGUGAGGCAGCAGUGAGGAAUAUUGGUCAAUGGGCGCGAGCCUGAACCAGCCAAGUAGCGUGAAGGAUGACUGCCCUACGGGUUGUAAACUUCUUUUAUAAAGGAAUAAAGUGAGGCACGUGUGCUUUUUUGUAUGUACUUUAUGAAUAAGGAUCGGCUAACUCCGUGCCAGCAGCCGCGGUAAUACGGAGGAUCCGAGCGUUAUCCGGAUUUAUUGGGUUUAAAGGGAGCGUAGACGGGUUGUUAAGUCAGUUGUGAAAGUUUGCGGCUCAACCGUAAAAUUGCAAUUGAUACUGGCAGUCUUGAGUACAGUUGAGGUAGGCGGAAUUCGUGGUGUAGCGGUGAAAUGCUUAGAUAUCACGAAGAACUCCGAUUGCGAAGGCAGCUUACUAAACUGCCACUGACAUUGAUGCUCGAAAGUGUGGGUAUCAAACAGGAUUAGAUACCCCAGUAGUC